This 276-nucleotide ribosomal RNA is filed under the name uncultured Veillonella sp. RNAcentral's name for it is "partial 16S ribosomal RNA". It matches the Rfam family "Bacterial small subunit ribosomal RNA", at positions 406 to 674 of the family's 1533-position model. Lineage: Bacteria; Bacillati; Bacillota; Negativicutes; Veillonellales; Veillonellaceae. The record is from RNAcentral.
UGAUGAAGGUCUUCGGAUUGUAAAGCUCUGUUAAUCGGGACGAAAGAGCCUAGUGUGAAUAAUGCUAGGAAGUGACGGUACCGGAAUAGAAAGCCACGGCUAACUACGUGCCAGCAGCCGCGGUAAUACGUAGGUGGCAAGCGUUGUCCGGAAUUAUUGGGCGUAAAGCGCGCGCAGGCGGAUCUGCCAGUCUGUCUUAAAAGUUCGGGGCUUAACCCCGUGAUGGGAUGGAAACUACAGAUCUAGAGUAUCGGAGAGGAAAGUGGAAUUCCUAGU